This 253-nucleotide ribosomal RNA is filed under the name uncultured bacterium. Its description in RNAcentral is "partial 16S ribosomal RNA". It matches the Rfam family "Bacterial small subunit ribosomal RNA", at positions 524 to 776 of the family's 1533-position model. The record is from RNAcentral.
UACGGAGGAUCCAAGCGUUAUCCGGAUUUAUUGGGUUUAAAGGGCUCGUAGGCGGUUUGUCGCGUCUGCUGUGAAAACUCGGGGCUUAACUCCGGGCCUGCAGUGGGUACGGGCAGACUAGAGUGCGGUAGGGGAGACUGGAAUUCCUGGUGUAGCGGUGAAAUGCGCAGAUAUCAGGAGGAACACCGGUGGCGAAGGCGGGUCUCUGGGCCGUAACUGACGCUGAGGAGCGAAAGCGUGGGGAGCGAACAGG